RNAcentral lists this transfer RNA (72 nucleotides) under Camelus bactrianus (Bactrian camel). It matches the Rfam family "tRNA". From Rfam's summary of the family: Transfer RNA (tRNA) molecules are approximately 80 nucleotides in length. The record is from Rfam by way of RNAcentral. RNAcentral also lists the same sequence under 1 other name. Lineage: Eukaryota; Metazoa; Chordata; Mammalia; Artiodactyla; Camelidae.
GAGGGUAUAGCUCAGUGGUAGAGAGCAUGCUUAGCAUGCACAAGGUCCUGGGUUCAAUUCCCAGAACCUCCU